RNAcentral lists this ribosomal RNA (593 nucleotides) under uncultured bacterium. RNAcentral describes it as "bacterial SSU rRNA". It matches the Rfam family "Bacterial small subunit ribosomal RNA", at positions 334 to 919 of the family's 1533-position model. The record is from RNAcentral.
GCUUCCUACGGGAGGCAGCAGUAGGGAAUCUUCCGCAAUGGACGAAAGUCUGACGGAGCAACGCCGCGUGAGUGAUGAAGGCUUUCGGGUCGUAAAACUCUGUUGUUAGGGAAGAACAAGUACGAGAGUAACUGCUCGUACCUUGACGGUACCUAACCAGAAAGCCACGGCUAACUACGUGCCAGCAGCCGCGGUAAUACGUAGGUGGCAAGCGUUGUCCGGAAUUAUUGGGCGUAAAGCGCGCGCAGGCGGUCCUUUAAGUCUGAUGUGAAAGCCCACGGCUCAACCGUGGAGGGUCAUUGGAAACUGGGGGACUCGAGUGCAGGAGAGAAGAGUGGAAUUCCACGUGUAGCGGUGAAAUGCGUAGAGAUGUGGAGGAACACCAGUGGCGAAGGCGACUCUUUGGCCUGUAGCUGACGCUGAGGCGCGAAAGCGUGGGGAGCAAACAGGAUUAGAUACCCUGUAGUCCACGCCGUAAACGAUGAGUGCUAAGUGUUAGAGGGUUUCCGCCCUUUAGUGCUGCAGUAAACGCACUAAGCACUCCGCCUGGGGAGUACGGCCGCAAGGCUGAAACUCAAAGGAAUUGACGGAGC